UAAGGAAUAUUGCUCAAUGGGCGAAAUCCUGAAGCAGCCACGCCGCGUGGAGGAUGAAGGGCUUUCAGCUUGUAAACUCCUGUAAAGAAGGAAAAAAUUCCCAUUAGAUGGGAAAUGAUGGUACUUCUAAAGUAAGCCCCGGCUAACUACGUGCCAGCAGCCGCGGUAAUACGUAGGGGGCAAGCGUUGUCCGGAUUUACUGGGUGUAAAGGGUGCUCAGGCGGUGUUGUGAGUCAGGGGUGAAAUCUCACAGCUUAACUGGGAAACUGCCUUUGAUACUGCAAGUCUAGAGUAUGGAAGAGAGUGAUGGAAUGUCUGGUGUAGCAGUGAAAUGCGUAGAUAUCAGAUAGAACACCAAUGGCGAAGGCAGUCACUUGGUCCAUUACUGACGCUAAAGCACGAAAGCGUGGGUAGCAAACA
This 420-nucleotide ribosomal RNA is filed under the name uncultured prokaryote. RNAcentral describes it as "bacterial SSU rRNA". It matches the Rfam family "Bacterial small subunit ribosomal RNA", at positions 355 to 774 of the family's 1533-position model. The record is from RNAcentral.